Molecule: ribosomal RNA, 160 nt
Filed under: uncultured Chlamydiales bacterium
Lineage: Bacteria; Pseudomonadati; Chlamydiota; Chlamydiia; Chlamydiales
Description: partial 16S ribosomal RNA
Rfam family: Bacterial small subunit ribosomal RNA
Source: RNAcentral
CGCCAACACUGGGACUGAGAACUGCCCAGACUCCUACGGGAGGCUGCAGUCGAGAAUCAUUCGCAAUGGGCGAAAGCCUGACGAUGCGACGCCGUGUGUAUGAUGAAGGCCUUCGGGUCGUAAAGUACUUUCGCCUGUGAACAAGAGAGGCUAACUAACA